This 83-nucleotide small RNA is filed under the name Marmota monax (woodchuck). The record is from RNAcentral. Lineage: Eukaryota; Metazoa; Chordata; Mammalia; Rodentia; Sciuridae.
GCUGGGUGUGGUGGCGCACAUCUGUGAUCCCAGCAACUCAGGAGGCUGAGGCAGGACGACCACAAGUCUGAAACCAGCCUCCA